GGUGGCUCAGUGGUAGAGUGCUUGCCUUGCAUGCAUGAGACCCUGGGUUCAAUUCCCCAGCACCA
Molecule: non-coding RNA, 65 nt
Organism: Dipodomys ordii (Ord's kangaroo rat)
Lineage: Eukaryota; Metazoa; Chordata; Mammalia; Rodentia; Heteromyidae
Source: Rfam